ACAAGGAUCAAGUGUGCAUGUUAAGAAGUGAUCAAAUCUUUUUGGCUGGAAAUAAUGGAUCAUUAGUUGUCCUUCCUAUGCAAAUAUCAAAAGGGUUGUGAUAUUUGAAUGGUUGAUUCUCCCUAUUCCGUUGCUCUCCACCACCAGAUGGUCAGACCUGAUGCCCCACGUGCGAAUCAAAAUUGAUUGGUUCUUGAACACGCAAAAAACGCCCGUAAUUCUCAGACGAACAAUGAAUACGGAUUAUGACAUUUGGCUAACUCUUUGGGUUUAUUUUUGCUGGUGCAGUCAAAGAGGAUGAUUAAUCUUUGGGUUCUCUUUUUCCCUCGUUUUGAUCCAUCUCAUGAAGUCAUUGUCCUUUCUUAAGUUGGAUUGGUAUCAGAGCUCAGGGUUUUCUUUUGUCUUUCAGCGUGAGUUCAAGUUGACAAGGACAGAUCAAUCGCGGAGUGAAGCUAAAGGACAUGAAGAGGGAGGCCAGGCCGUAUUACAGUUUCACCUCUUUCAGAGAUUCUCCAGCAUUGGGGAUAAUUAAAGCACCAAUGUUCACAUAGGCAUAAAGUCAGGCUUUUGCCAUUUCUAAAGUGCCGCUGCUGCGGGCGCUUUGACGCGUGUCCUUGUGAUGUUGAAGAAACCUGAGGCGCGACGCCGUUCACAGCAAUAAAAAGCAUCUUCACUUUUGCAUCUCGAUGUGCCUUUUAAUCCCCUGAAAUUUGACUGGACGAGCAACACCUGCUUUCCAUAUUCAUUUCCUCCUUAAAAGGGGCUUUUCGCCUUCCCCUCCUUUGUUCUAUUCCGCGAGGGCCACAGAGGUUCAGUCAACCGAAGAACUUUGGGCGACUCUCUAGUGUGUCAAACUCAGGGCGGACAACUGGAUUCUUCGCUGAUCAUUGGUAUGUGGAGUACCAUUCGACGUUGGAUUAGGCAAGUUAAUGAUGUCUGCUCAACAUCUUGAAGCUUAUGUUUCUCCUGAAAAGUUCCUGAAUGUGCAAUAACAAGGAGUGAAAACAGACAGCAACCCGCCAUCUGAACGGUGAGAGAGUGGUUCCCCGGAUAGCAAGUUAGAAACAGAAUCAUCGAAUGUUAAAAGAGAAAAGUUCCUAAAUGUGCAAUAACAAGGAUUGGAAACACCCGGUAACAUGCCAUCCGAAUGGCGAGAGAGCGAUUCCCAGAGAGCGAGUUAGAAACAGAAUCAUUGAAUGAUAAAAAGAGAUACAGCUGUUCGACGCGACCAACCGAGUCCCUAUCCAUAGCCGUGGUCCUCGCACUUCAUUCUCUCGGAAGAAUUCGAUCGACGCAUGGAUGGUACUGCUUGUACUAAAAAAAUCCUGCAUGUCGAAAGUGAAGGAUGAACUAAUGAUAAUGUUCAUUUUCCCCAGGGUCUCAUUCGUGAAACUGACAUUGUAUUCUCCACGA
This is a long non-coding RNA of Syzygium oleosum, 1413 nucleotides long. RefSeq lists it as uncharacterized. The transcript is spliced from 2 exons. NCBI's taxonomy places the organism in Eukaryota, Viridiplantae, Streptophyta, Magnoliopsida, Myrtales, Myrtaceae. The record is from RefSeq and is a predicted model, not a curated record.